GAAACAGCCUCCCUGCCCUUUCGGGUAGGGGUAAGGCUCGUCUAUAUAUUACCCUCCCCAGAACCCACCUGGUGGGAAUAUACUGGGUAGUUGUUGUUGUUGUUGUACAUUGAUCAGGUAAUAUCAAGUAAGAUCAUGGCUAAUUUUGACAUAUAACACAUCAACACAUUUCAUACGGCCAUAAUCUAUGGUAAUCAUUACUAGUCCAGUAGAUAUUCCUAUGCGCUCAUUAACACUAAAAAUGCUAUUCCCUGCAUCCUGAUUUAUGUGACAUUGUUUGACUAACAGAAUUUAAGAAACAAAAUAAAGACUUUUAAAACUUGCUAAUCACUUGUAGAUUUGGAAGUACAAAGUUAAAUAAUUUAUAAAUAUAAAAAGGGAAAAGGGUCAGAACUGCCCCUAACGUAUUAACUCCAGUUUAAAAAUGCCCUCCGUUAACCUAUUUUGAAAAAAA
This 454-nucleotide long non-coding RNA is filed under the name Nicotiana benthamiana. RNAcentral's name for it is "long non-coding RNA (NBEN_LNC002283)". The record is from RNAcentral. Lineage: Eukaryota; Viridiplantae; Streptophyta; Magnoliopsida; Solanales; Solanaceae.